AGACACACUAAUCCUUUCCGACGCAUGCUGUGACCCACAACCAGUUCCAAAGCGGCUGGUGCAUAAAAAAAGUUUUAAAAUACCCAGUCAAUUGACUACAUGAAACUAUGGAGACCCCGUCUCUACCGCCACCUGGUUCCCUGGUACAGGAGUCUUUCUGUGCUGGUUUCUGCGUGCCUGGAAGAACACCAGACAGCAGCACCAGUGUGAAUUUCAGGGUAGGGAGCACCUUUGUUUGUGAAGGAAGCUGCUUCCUUGUGCUCCCUGACACGUUUGUCUCCACCCACACAUCACUGUCCACUCCUGCCACCAGGUCUCACUCUAUCCCAACAAUGCCUCCCUGGUCCCUGGAGAACCCACCUGGCAAACUAAAACGACAACCACCACCUUCUUCCUACAGGAAGACUCAGCAGUAGGAACUGCUCAAGAAUCAGCUUUGCGGCACGUGUGCAUCCCUGGGAAGUGGGUGGUCCCAUUCCCAUUUCAUCUCCACUGCAGAUCAUGUUUGGGGCUCAUGCCUGUCUCUUGAGUGUGAAAUACAAGUCAUGUUUAUUUGAUUUUUGUAAGCGGACUUUUUACACCUUGUUUUUGUAAUAAGUUUCUUAUUAAAAGAAUAAAAUACCUGUCUUUUAUGUGCAGGCUUUAUUUG
This 649-nucleotide long non-coding RNA is filed under the name Mus musculus (house mouse). RNAcentral describes it as "long non-coding RNA chr17:47686112-47686761". The record is from RNAcentral. Lineage: Eukaryota; Metazoa; Chordata; Mammalia; Rodentia; Muridae.